GGCGGGGCAGAUCUGCCCUCUGAAUGGGCAGCCCAAGGUCUGUGGGAAAAGCGGAGAGCACCCGCCGACCUUCCCUUCACCUGAGUGAAGGGGUCCUUCCGUUGUUGCCAUCGCCAUCCUCUGCCGGCGCCAGACCCCAGCUUCCGUGAACUUUGGAUGUGGUCUCAACACUAGUGACUGCAGAGAACCCCAGGCAUUCAGCACCAGUGUGGGGCUGCUAAGGCAGCCACAGAGUCUUCCAGUGUCCUACGCUGUACUCUGCAUGUGGAAAUGAGGCUGUAUUCCGAGAGAGAUUCCCAAGGAUGAGGGAAAUCGGAGGUGGGGUCAGUGUGGUCUAGCAGGCCAUUGGCUGGGCUGCACCACGAAGCCCCUGGGAUGUACAGCCUGGCAGCUGUACACUUCCUCCUGGAGAAGCCUCAGUGGUGGAGACUGUGAUGCAGAGGUCUGCAGAGGCAGAUGGUUGCGUUUCCUGACAGGAGAGAAGCUCUCCUGCACUUUAUCUCUUCCUUCCUGCCCAGUUAUAAAUAUAACCGCUGUUCAGCCAGCAUGACCUGUUAGCUUUUAUUACAGAGCUGGAGUACAAGUGAUUAGUCUCGGGGUUGGGGGUAGGGCUGGCAAUGAACUGUGUUUUAGGGUGAUAAGAACUGGUGUAUUCUUUCAAAAUAC
RNAcentral lists this long non-coding RNA (666 nucleotides) under Cricetulus griseus (Chinese hamster). Its description in RNAcentral is "lncRNA (ENSCGRG00015043124.1)". The record is from RNAcentral. Lineage: Eukaryota; Metazoa; Chordata; Mammalia; Rodentia; Cricetidae.